Peromyscus californicus insignis is the source of this 6332-nucleotide long non-coding RNA. RefSeq lists it as uncharacterized. The transcript has 2 exons. NCBI's taxonomy places the organism in Eukaryota, Metazoa, Chordata, Mammalia, Rodentia, Cricetidae. The record is from RefSeq and is a predicted model, not a curated record.
UGUAAAAGAGAGAGAAGAAAUGAAUAAAAAUGAGUAUGUGUUUUUCAACAAGGUUGUGCCCAGACAUGAAAGGAGGAGGACAUGUUGGGAAGAUGAAGCAAUUCAGAGCAAGUGAGAGGGAGAAAGAGAGGGAAACAGAGGAUGAAUAUGAUCAAAUGUACUACACAUAUAUAUGAACUUUUCAAAAUAUUUUUAAAUGAGUAUAAGUUUGUUAAUAUUUUGAAACUGGAAAUUUCACUGUAAUCAAACUUUAUUUUUAAAAUUAACUUACUUACUUUUAAGUCCCAAAUUCAAUCAUUCACAAAUCAGUUUUAUUUCUUAUUCACCAAUCAGUUUACCUUUUUCUGCCCUUCCCUCUCUGAUUGUAUUAAAUAAGAUCCAGCAUGGUGUUGAGUAGGAGUUGUGACAGCAUGCAGCAUCACUCUCAAACUUAGGAAAGAAUCAUACAGUUUCUCCACAUAAGUAAGACAUUUCUUUCAAGAUAUUUGUAACUGCUCCUUGUUAAGACUCAUCCCCUGGAUUCCACUUUUCUCAGAGCUUAGUUUUUGUAUUUUUCUAUGAAUGGGUACUAGACUUUAUGAAAUGUACUUCUCGGGAUUUACCUAUCUGAAAAUAUUGUUUUUCAUGCCUAGCAAGUUGGCUCAGCAGGUGAAUGUACUGACUGAGGAGCUGGAGUUCAACCUCUGAAACCUGUGUAAAACUCAAGGAGAGAACUCUCCACAAAUUUGUCUCUGACCUCCACACUCUGACCCCAUCUCUCUCUCUCUCUCUCUCUCUCUCUCUCUCUCUCUCUCUCUCUCUCUGUCACACACACACACACAAAAUGAAUACUAAUAAAUCAAUACAGUUUUUCUUUCCUGGGCUAUUGAUAUGAGGUAUGACAAUCAUUGAUUUUCAAACUAUGAAUCAGAGUUGCAUGGAUGGAAAAAUUCCAUGUGAUCAUAAUAUACAUUUCAUUAUACACAGUACUGCAUUCAAUAUAUUAGUACUUUUUCAAAGACUUUUACACUUAUAUUUGUAAGAGAUACUGAGCUACAGCAUUUCUUUCUUGCAAUGUUUUUUGUUGGUUUGGAUAUGAAGGCUAUGCUAGCCUCAUAGGAGUGAGAAGUUAUGUUAGUUAUUUCCAUGUCAUUUUGACCAUUACCUGACAGGACGUCUUGUGGGAAGGACAGUUUACUUCCAUUCACAUUGAGUUCAAAACAUUCCUUAGUUUCUUGUGAAAAUUCCUCUUUUAACCAAAUUUAUUUAGAAAUAUACUCUUCCGGGAUUUAGAGAUUUUACUAAUUUAUCCUUUUAGUAGUCUUGUCUAGCUUUGUACUUCUAGAGUCUGUGAGUACAUUUUGUAUGAUUUCUCAUCUUUUACAUUAGUUUAGGAAUGUUUUCUGGCUCAUAAUAUAGUCAUGCAAGGUAAAUGCCCAAGGCAAGCUUGAGAAAAAUGUGUAUUUUGUUAGUUAAGUAUCAAUCAGAUCCCACUGGUUGAUGUUUCCAUUUAGUUUAACUUCGUCCUUUCUGGUUGUCUGCCUUUGGCUUUGCCAACUACAAAGAUGGGGGUGCUAAGUCUACAACUGUAACAGUGGAUUCACUAGUUUCUCCAAGAACUCCUGUCACUUUUUCCUGCUGUAUUUUGAUGAUCCAUCAUCAGACAGGUUCCUAUGUCUUUGAUGAGAAUUAAGUCUUUUGUAACUAUGCAAAGUAUAUAUCCCUAAUUAUUUUUCUUGCUCUGUUAUCUAUUCUGACUGAAACCAAUAUACCUGUACUCUUUUUCUCUUAUUAGUUAUAGCUUUCCCUAGCCAUCUACAUUUGGUUUAUUUUAAGCCAUUAUAUUUAUAGUGUGUUUUCUAUAGAUAAAAUAUAAGUGACUUUUUUGUUUGUUUUAUAUACUCUUAUAACUGCUUCUAAAUUGGUAUAUUUGGAUUGUUGAUGUUUAAUCUGAUUAUUGAUAUAGUUAAAGUGAAAGAUAUGAAGCUUUUUUGAUAACAUUAUCUUCCUGCUGUUUUUAUGUCUUCUGUCUUUUCUGAUUUCUUUAAAAAUAAUAAUUGUUAUUUAUUCUUUGAAAUUUUUGCAUAAGUAUACAAUGUAUCUUGAUCAUCAUCCACCCUCCAAUCCCCAGGAGUACCCUCCCAACACAUCUAUCUCCCUCUUAACUUUAUGUCCUCUUUUCUAUACUUUUUACUCAUUUAAUUUUGACUCACUGGAUCCAAUUAGUGCUGUCCAUGAGUACACAAGUGUAGGGUCAUCCACUGAGGUAUUGUCAUCACACAAGUGACUUUGUUUCUGCCAGUAUAGACAUCAACUGCCAAUAGUUUCUCAGCUCCUGACUGGAGCCACAUGAGCCCCUCCAACAUCAUGCUGCAAUUUUUAACUGGCUUUAUCCUGUGCAGGUCUUGUGUAGGUCACCACAACUGCUGUGGAGUCAUAUGUGCAUCAGCCAUGUCAUAUCUAGAAGACAGCAUUUCAUAGUUCUUCACCCCAUCUUUCAGCUCUUACAUUCUGUCCAGCCCCUCUUCCAAUGACAGUCAUUGAGCCUUGGGAGAUGUGGCAAAAAUUAGUUGAUAAGCAUAACACAUCUAUAGUUGUACAUUCACAGUUGUGUAUUCUCAGCACUUUGAAUAGUCACAAAUCUCUACAUAAGUUACUACUAUCCACCUAAAUAAGAACCUUAUCUAACUAAAGUAGAGAGUAACACAAAUGCAUAGACAAAACAUGGAGAUUUAGAAAGUAGUUUGAUAACAUGACUGUUUAGAAAACAAUAUCAAUAGGUUCUCCCUAUAGCCUAUAAUAUCCUUAACAAAAGGUUUUUACUGUUUAUGGAAUCAGGCAUGAGUCCCUCCUGUGGAGAAGGUCUCAAAUCCAAUUAAGAGAGCAGUAAGCUGCCCCAUAAACAAACAGUCUUGCAAGCAUUUCACCAAUGGUUCUGAAUAAGGUACUCCUAAAUCUCUAUGAACCAAAAAAAUCUUUUAUUUAUCAAAUAAGAACCAUAUGAAUAUUAGCUGAUACCAGGGGCUUAGACCUCAAGAAAUUCUAAUCUACAGUUGGCAUCUGUGUUGCAAAAUAGUUAGAAAGGGAAAAAUUAGGAGUGAAUUAGUUGGAGCCAUAAAUGAUCAUUAUAGCAGCCAUAGGAUGUCCAAGAGACCCUUAAACAGAUUUUUAGUAGAGGAGAAAAGGUGCUGGUAGAUAUUACCAAUAUGCAGAGCUGGGGAAGAAUGAAAUGAAUGAAUCCCACAGCUAAUAUACAUCUGCUGGUCACCCUGAACUGAAGCAAAUAAACACAGUAGCUACUGUCCACUCUGAGAGUCCUUACUCACCUACAACCAGGGUACUCAUGGUGCAGUUGAUGGAUGAACUUCAGGGUAUUCUUGAUUCCUCAGAUAUUUUUGUACAUGUAGUUAUAUAAAAAAAAUAUGGUUUUUCCAAGCUGUUAGGAUGGAUAUAUCAUGUGGAAAAGUAAAAAGAAUGGGUAAAUUAUUCAAGAAUUUGUCCUCAUUUGCAUAAAUUCUUACUUUUUCCAAUGAACAGAUAAAAGAUGUUCUCUCUGAGAGAUCCAAGAGCCCAGACCCAACAUUAGUACAAAAAUGGUUUCAUUUAAAAUUUUUAAAGCUUUACUAUUCUCUUUAUUUAACAGAAAAUGUGAUUGAUCUUUGAAAUUUUUUUUUUUUUUUUGAUUUUCGAGACAAGGUUUCUCUGUGUAGCUUUGCGCCUUUCUUGGAACUCGCUUUGGAGACCAGGCUGGCCUCGAACUCACAGAGAUCCACCUGGCUCUGCCUCUCGAGUGCUGGGAUUAAAGGCGUGCGCCACCACUGCCCGGCCAGACCUUUGAAUUUUUGACAUAAAAUUUCUAUUUAGUGUAUUAAAUCAACCAAUUAAUAAACUUCAUCAUUAAAUAUCUGCAUCUCAGAAAAAAAACAGAAUUCAUUCAGAAUCUCACAUGUUUGCAUUAGCUCACAGUAGAGACUUAGGAGCUCAUCUAGAGCCUGAUGCAGUGGCACUUUAAGUGACAUUUCCUAGAGCCAAAUAUCUCCCUGCUCUCCAAUUUCAGACAUCUUUCUGAACUCCCUCUUCCAUCCUCUUUACCCAGUGGGGGAAAAAAACUAACAGGCCAAAAUCACUUGACCCCUUCACCUAGCAAACGAUAAAACCUUAAACAGAAUCAGACACAACAAAGUAAGCAUACAGUUAAUGGAACCAGAUGAGAAUGAGUUCUGUGAAAUAAUAAGGUGGAAAAUUAUCACCAAGGAAAGGUUGGGUCUUCUCUAACUGUGGCAGCCAAAGCAGGCUCACUAAUUAGAUUACUACUCUCCAGAACUCUGACAAAGGGCUCCUCACCACAGUUCUCAUACCUUUAAACAACUCAUCUCAUUUGAUCAGGUGGGUUAAAAAAAUGAAUGUCUGCUAAUUAGCACUAAUUGAUUUCACCUGACAUAACUGUACUCUGAGCAGUCUUGGGGAUACCCUGUGGGGAAGUCAGAAAGGGUUGCUUAUGCAGUAGAUAGCAAAACCUGCACAGUACUUAGGAGGAAAUUAUACAAUUUUAACAAGCAAAAAAAUAGAACCAAAAAAUUAAGGCAUUAUUCUGUUGCCACUAAUCUUAUAAUUGUUUGGUUCUAUUUUGAUUCUUUAAAACUUUCUUAAGGUAUGAAUUUUAUAUCAAAACUUAUAAGAUUAAUAUAUAUAUUUUAACUUUUGUCAUGAUAUUGGUGGUCAUGUAGAGUACUAACUAAUUCUAGAAAAAAGGCUUCAUCUAGUUGUCUGUAGAUGUUUUCAUGUUUGAGUCUCUAUCAGUUUUAUGCAGGGAAUCAUGACCAUGCCUAACAGCAAAUUUGAAGUCUAUAAAAAGAUAAUGGGGCCCCACAACGAUGAUUCCAUCAGGAUGAUGAUAAUACCAUUAAGCUGACAAAUACUACCCAAAGAUCAGCUUUGGACUAUAAACUGCUCAGGACAAUUUGGAGAUGGCUAGCUGAGAUGACUCAGCCUCACAAACUACUGGAGCAAGGACUUGAGGCAAGCCCUGCAUUUUUGUAUUGUGCAGAGACUGGACAACAAAUGAUACAGCUACCUCUCCCAGGACUUGACAAUUAUCUCAAAAAUUCUUUUCAGGAUCCCCUAAAGAUGCCUUUGGCCCCAUACAGUAGGAAGUAAUUUUAAGAACACAAGGCCCACAUUCCCAAAAGGUGGGUGAGACAUGUCUGCUCCUGGCAGCACCAAUCUGCUUCAGAGAAGACAAUGGGCACUGAAGAAAUACCAUAUGGAGUUUACUUUCAUUGUGGCAAAAGUUAGCCACUGGGCAAGAAAGUAGCUUCAAAUGGACUGCUGACAGUAUACUGUCCAAAAUGGACAAGCAGGACACAAAACAAAGGACUGCUGAUCCUUGCCAAAACAAGAUAAGAAGGCUCUUUAGAAACUCCUGCUUCACAGAUGAGUCUGUCAGAUAUGCUAAGCCUGUAGGCCGAAGAUGAUGCUCCAACGUUGCAGAGAAACCUCAGGGGACUGUCCAGGCAGCCGGCUAUUUCUGUCAUAACUCAAAUUUUUUGGAAGUCACAUGUUUGCACUCCCUCCUUACUCAGGUAAUAUUAUUUCCUUCUCAGGUCUCUAAGAAAUUGAAGAUUAGACAGUUAUAGUUUUCCUUGUUAAGAAAUUCAGAAAAGAAACUCACUAAAGAGGUGUAAAGUGUUUAAGUUUGAAAGACUUCAAAAGAUCGUUUUGGUUAUGCAAAUUAGAAGAUAAAUUAGAUACAAUCCUUUGAAUUCACAAAAAUAGGAUAGAUAAUGGAAUAUUUGCUCUGAAUUUGUCAAAUGAAAGUGAACUAGACAUUGUUGAUGUAUUUAUUUCUUGUAUAUAUUGUAUAUAGUUAUUGUACUUAUUGUGUAUAGUUUUUCUUAUAUCAGUUAUAAUUUUUUAACUUUUAAUUUUAGACAAAAAGGGGAAAUGUAGUGAUAUAUUGUGUCCUCCAAUGUAUUGUGCACCCUAAUAAAGCUUAUCUGAGAAUCAGAGGAAAAAGCCAGCCACUAUAGUAAACAUAGAAAUCAGGCAAUGGUAGCACACACCUUUAAUCCUAGCAUUCAGGAGGCAGAGAUCCAUUUGGAUCUCUGUGAGUUCAAGGCCGCACUGGGAACAGAGCUAGGCAUGGUGACACACACCUUUAAUGCCAGCACUAACCAUAGAGGUCUGGAGGUCUGUACGGAAAGACAGGAAUUGAUGUAGCUGGGCUGAGAGAGGAAGUGAGAUGCAGAACAGAAAGGUAUAUAGGAAGUAGAUCUCUCUGGCUGAGGAUUCCCAAGUGCUAAGAAUAUGGCUGGCUUCUUUCUGCCUUUCUGGUCUCUCAGUUUUCACCCCAA